AGGAAUUGGCGGGGGAGCACCGCAACGGGAGGAGCGUGCGGUUUAAUUGGAUUCAACACCGGAAAACUCACCAAGGGCGACUAUCACAUGAAAGCCAGGCUAAUGACCUUGCUUGAUUCUUAGAGAGGUGGUGCAUGGCCGUCGUCAGUUCGUACCGUAAGGCGUUCUCUUAAGUGAGAUAACGAACGAGACCCUCAUCUAUAAUUGCUACUUCAUUCUCCGGAAUGGAGGCACAUUAUCGAGACCGCUGGCGCUAAGUCAGAGGAAGGAGAGGUCAACGGUAGGUCAGUAUGCCCCGAAUCUCUUGGGCUACACGCGCGCUACAAAGGGCGGGACAAUGGGCUACGACGCCGAAAGGCGAAGUCAAUCUCGAAACCCGUCCGUAGUUCGGAUUGAGGCUUGUAACUCAGCCUCAUGAAGCUGGAUUCCGUAGUAAUCGCGAAUCAAAAACUCGCGGUGAAUAUGCCCCUGCUCCUUGCACACACCGC
This 488-nucleotide ribosomal RNA is filed under the name uncultured archaeon. Its description in RNAcentral is "bacterial SSU rRNA". It matches the Rfam family "Archaeal small subunit ribosomal RNA", at positions 860 to 1349 of the family's 1478-position model. The record is from RNAcentral.